This 23-nucleotide non-coding RNA is filed under the name Arabidopsis thaliana (thale cress). The record is from RNAcentral. Lineage: Eukaryota; Viridiplantae; Streptophyta; Magnoliopsida; Brassicales; Brassicaceae.
AAGAUAGGUACGUAGAGUUGUAC